RNAcentral lists this ribosomal RNA (1017 nucleotides) under uncultured bacterium. RNAcentral describes it as "bacterial SSU rRNA". It matches the Rfam family "Bacterial small subunit ribosomal RNA", at positions 355 to 1375 of the family's 1533-position model. The record is from RNAcentral.
UGAGGAAUAUUGGUCAAUGGACGAGAGUCUGAACCAGCCAAGUAGCGUGAAGGAUGACUGCCCUAUGGGUUGUAAACUUCUUUUAUACGGGAAUAAAGUGAGGCACGUGUGCCUUUUUGUAUGUACCGUAUGAAUAAGGAUCGGCUAACUCCGUGCCAGCAGCCGCGGUAAUACGGAGGAUCCGAGCGUUAUCCGGAUUUAUUGGGUUUAAAGGGAGCGUAGGCGGACGCUUAAGUCAGUUGUGAAAGUUUGCGGCUCAACCGUAAAAUUGCAGUUGAUACUGGGUGUCUUGAGUACAGUAGAGGCAGGCGGAAUUCGUGGUGUAGCGGUGAAAUGCUUAGAUAUCACGAAGAACUCCGAUUGCGAAGGCAGCUUGCUGGACUGUAACUGACGCUGAUGCUCGAAAGUGUGGGUAUCAAACAGGAUUAGAUACCCUGGUAGUCCACACAGUAAACGAUGAAUACUCGCUGUUUGCGAUAUACAGUAAGCGGCCAAGCGAAAGCGUUAAGUAUUCCACCUGGGGAGUACGCCGGCAACGGUGAAACUCAAAGGAAUUGACGGGGGCCCGCACAAGCGGAGGAACAUGUGGUUUAAUUCGAUGAUACGCGAGGAACCUUACCCGGGCUUGAAUUGCAACUGAAUGAUGUGGAGACAUGUCAGCCGCAAGGCAGUUGUGAAGGUGCUGCAUGGUUGUCGUCAGCUCGUGCCGUGAGGUGUCGGCUUAAGUGCCAUAACGAGCGCAACCCUUAUCGAUAGUUACCAUCAGGUUAUGCUGGGGACUCUGUCGAGACUGCCGUCGUAAGAUGUGAGGAAGGUGGGGAUGACGUCAAAUCAGCACGGCCCUUACGUCCGGGGCUACACACGUGUUACAAUGGGGGGUACAGAAGGCAGCUACACGGCGACGUGAUGCUAAUCCCGAAAGCCUCUCUCAGUUCGGAUUGGAGUCUGCAACCCGACUCCAUGAAGCUGGAUUCGCUAGUAAUCGCGCAUCAGCCACGGCGCGGAGAAUACGUUCCC